This 1106-nucleotide long non-coding RNA is filed under the name Mus musculus (house mouse). RNAcentral's name for it is "long non-coding RNA chr11:77715286-77716392". The record is from RNAcentral. Lineage: Eukaryota; Metazoa; Chordata; Mammalia; Rodentia; Muridae.
AGGGGACAAUAACUUAGAAGUAAAUUUUUGGUUAAUAUUAUAUUUUGGCCUUAAAAUGUCUUCUACUACUGAAAAUAUUUUAAAUCAUAGCUUUGUUUCUAUUCCCUCUGCUUCAAAAAGACUUGGGAAGGAUUAGAGGAAGUCAUUUCAUUGUUUUCUUUUUAGUUGUCAGUAAGCUGGGUUUUUUAUUACAUUUAUUUCAGAGAAGUAAUGCUACCCUAAACCAAUCAUACCUAGUUUAGUUAACAAGCUCCCAACUAUUCCACUUCUCUAGUAUAUAUUCAAAGAUAAACAAGGUGUAAGAAUGCAACUUGACAAAGGAAAAAUAUCUUUGCAAGCACAUACUCAAAGAUGAAGGAGGAAAAGUAUAGAGGAAGGACACCAAAUGAGGUGGAGGAAUAUGAGAAUGAUGUGUGGUCCAAAGCUAUCUGGUUAUAUUUUGAUGUUGCCAAUAUUGCAGAGCCAAAUUUUUAAUUUGCUUACUAAUAUAUUUGUUGGCCAGAGAUCUAUUUUUAUAUCAGUGUGCCUUGCAUGUAUAUUAACUUUGGAAAGGCCAUGUAGUAAAUGCCUGAGAUGUUGAUGGUUCUUACCACCUCACUGAUUUUUAUGCAGUUGAAAUGUUCAUUCUAUUGCCCAACUGGUGCUCUCUGUUUAAAGUUAUAGAUCUUGUCAAACUGGAACUCUUUUAUAAACUGGGGAAGUGACUUGUUUUUUCACUAAUCCCCCUACCCCCAUAGUCUGUUAGUGGCUGGUCUGUAGGGAAAUAGUAAAAAUUAUUCACUACCUACCCCUACCCUUAACACCACCUUCAAGUAAUGUGAUAAUACCAUUUCUUUGUGCGCUUUGAAAAAAGUUUCAGCUUGCUGCCUCCUUUAGUGUUAUGAAAGGUAUUAUUAAAAGCAUUGUUUGCAAAAAUGCAGGAAGAUGAUGGAUGUCCACAUUAAUUUGGGAUUCUUUGUGAGCUUUAAUUCAAGUUAUUGGCUCAUUCCAACAAUUUUAUUGUUGAAGCACCUUGCUUAGGAAUUUUUAAAUAUUCAUGUCUGCAACACUUGUCUCAAAAUAAAUUGUGCAAUUCUUGUCAAAAAACAGUAAACAAAAACAGAUCU